CAUUCACUCUCUCUCUAACCUCCCAAACUCUCUCUCUCUCUAGAACUCGGAUCCAGGCAAACUUCCGGCAAGGAGCCGGUGAAGUCCCGGCGGCGACGGCCGGUGACCGCGGUGGUGCGGCGGCGGAGCCGCCGUAGGCGGCGGAGGUCCGGCGAGGUUCUGGCGUCAUUUUCCAGCCAAACACCCCUACCCCCACUAAACCGAACGUUCCCGACGCGAUGGCGGUGUCCGUUUUCAAAGAUUCGCAGUUGUAUGAGCUGUGGAGCAACUCCGGCGAAGCUCCGACCGUUUUUCCAGCGAAGCCAUUUUGGAUUUUUCUUUCCAUGCAUGUUUAGAUCGGGUUAUGAGGAACCAUUCUGCAAAUUUUCAAGACAUUUUAUAUUCCGGCAACUUGUUAAACGGGGCUGUUUGGGGGCGGAACAAAAGCCGACGACGGCGGUGGUGAAGCCGGCCGGCGGCUGAGGCGAUGGCGGUGAUGAUGGUUGGCAACUCGGGUUAUUAAAGUUCAUGUUUCGAUUCAGGGUUUAGUUUUGGUUUGAUUUUUGGUUCGAAUCUACUCAGGUCAGACUCGGUUGGGGAGCUCGAGUUCGGUUCGGGUCAUGCGGUUCGGUUAGGCGGCUCGGUUCGGUUGACUCAGUCAGCGAGUCGACUCAGACAAGACUCGCCUCAGGUCAACAAGUCCAACUCGGUUCGACUCGGUUCUAUACGACUCGACUCAGUACAACUCGGUCCUGUUGACUCGGUUGAACCGAGUCAACUCAGUCAAAGCAACGAGUCAACUCAGCGGGUCAACCCGGUUGACUCGGUCAAGUCAGCCGGUUAACUCAGUCCAUGUUUCGACAACUCGACACGGAGGAUUUGGUAAAUAAUUUUAGUGGCGCGAAUAUUUACGUUAUUUUAAUAAUUUAUAUGUUUAACGCGGACCGAGCUCGAACCAUUAGCAAUUACAUAACGUUUAUACAUUAGUGAGUCUUUACGCUUUGAUGUAUUUUGACGAGAAAUUAUAUAUAUAUUAGUUGACAAUUGUUGAA
Molecule: long non-coding RNA, 1031 nt
Organism: Helianthus annuus (common sunflower)
Lineage: Eukaryota; Viridiplantae; Streptophyta; Magnoliopsida; Asterales; Asteraceae
Exons: 2
Source: RefSeq, a predicted model, not a curated record